Molecule: ribosomal RNA, 303 nt
Filed under: uncultured bacterium
Lineage: Bacteria
Description: bacterial SSU rRNA
Rfam family: Bacterial small subunit ribosomal RNA
Source: RNAcentral
UGAGGAAUAUUGGUCAAUGGACGCAAGUCUGAACCAGCCAUGCCGCGUGCAGGAAGACGGCUCUAUGAGUUGUAAACUGCUUUUGUACGAGGGUAAACUCGGAUACGUGUAUCCGUUUGAAAGUAUCGUACGAAUAAGGAUCGGCUAACUCCGUGCCAGCAGCCGCGGUAAUACGGAGGAUUCAAGCGUUAUCCGGAUUUAUUGGGUUUAAAGGGUGCGUAGGCGGUCGGAUAAGUUAGAGGUGAAAUCCCGAGGCUCAACUUCGGAAUUGCCUCUGAUACUGUUCGGCUAGAGAGUAGUUGC